GUCCCAGACUCCUACGGGAGGCAGCAGUGAGGAAUAUUGGUCAAUGGGCGAGAGCCUGAACCAGCCAAGUCGCGUGAAGGAUGACGGCCCUACGGGUUGUAAACUUCUUUUGUCAGGGAGCAAUUGGGUCCACGCGUGGGCUUAGCGAGAGUACCUGAAGAAAAAGCAUCGGCUAACUCCGUGCCAGCAGCCGCGGUAAUACGGAGGAUGCGAGCGUUGUCCGGAAUUACUGGGUGUAAAGGGAGCGUAGGCGGGGAUGCAAGUUGGGUGUUAAAUCUACCGGCUCAACUGGUAGUCGCACUCAAAACUGCAGCUCUUGAGUGAAGUAGAGGCAGGCGGAAUUCCUAGUGUAGCGGUGAAAUGCGUAGAUAUUAGGAGGAACACCAGUGGCGAAGGCGGCCUGCUGGGCUUUUACUGACGCUGAGGCUCGAAAGUGUGGGGAGCAAACAGGAUUAGAUACCCGAGUACC
This 469-nucleotide ribosomal RNA is filed under the name uncultured bacterium. RNAcentral's name for it is "bacterial SSU rRNA". It matches the Rfam family "Bacterial small subunit ribosomal RNA", at positions 328 to 794 of the family's 1533-position model. The record is from RNAcentral.